CACCUCCUUUCUGGACACCUGCUAGAUUUUUAUUGAUACCAAUAAGGAUCGCUUUCAUUAGGUUAUCAUUACAUCAUUAUUAUGCAUCACUAGCUAAACAUCUCAGUUUACUGGGCAUGUAAGUUUCUCUGCAGUUUUUACUAAUCUUCUUCAAUAAUUCAUCUUCCUUUCAGUCAUUUUUUUGAAUUCCUCCCUCUAAUAAAACACUGCCCAAAUGGUUUCCAACCUAACAGCUAGGAAGCACAAUUUUGCAUUGCCUAUCUCAUGUUUGCCUGUACUUAGGUCUAAUGAUGAUGUCCAAUCCAACGUUGAUCAAGGUUGACGGUUGCUGGAAAACUGUUUAACUAGAUGUUGAUGCAUAGAUGUCGGCUCCAUAAACAAUUGAAUCUUUGAUAAUGACUUCACAUCCACCUAUAUCUUGUGUUCUGUUACUCUGUCCUGCCUUCUUUUGGUUAAUUUUCUUGUUUAAAAGAGUGCCAUGUGCUGUUUCUAUCAGAUAGCAUCAAUUUGAUUGCCACCAGCAAAUAAUUUUGGACCAUAUCUUCAACUGAGAGCUUUGCUUGUACAGUUUAGAUUACAUCAGUCAGAUAGGCCCCCUUUCUCUACACAAUGCACAUCGAACUUGUUGCCUAGAUCACCCUGGGGUUUUCAUUGUGGUUCGAUGUCCUAUUGACUGCUGGUCUUCUUUCUGUUAAGUUGGUCAUUUUCAAUCGUGGAAAUCAUAAAUUCAUCGUCCAAUUUGAUGGUACUUUUAUCCCUGUAUGAAUUGCAGAAAACUAGUGUGGUCCUAUGAUAAUUCCUUACAACCAGCUUAAUUAUGUGCCAUGUUUUCCUUAAAAUUCUGGUUGAUGGGGGCACAUAAGCUCAGUGUAAAUUGUCAUGAAUCAUGACUUGCUAUGAUAUGCGGAUACUUCGCAAAACUCACGUACCGGUAUCGGAUACUGUAUCGGAUACCCGUACUCCACAGAUACUCCCGGAUACGUAUUCCGUAAGUAUCAGACUAUUUAGGUAUUUUCAAAUAAUAAAAAUAAAUCGGAUACUCGUGGGAUACCUGUGGAUACCUGUCCGAUACCUUCAAACCCUAACAACACCACUCAAUCGCUUCGUAUAAAGGUCCUCCAUUCAGUUGUGCCAUCCUCUCAUCCCCACUCGCGCAGCCGCAGGCCCGCAGCAGCCUCGCACAGCUCCCUUGCUGUCACCGCCGCUCGGCCACCCGCCCACGCCUCCUCUUACUCCUUCCCCAUCGCUCGUCGCUCCCUUGCCGUCACCUCCGCCCGCCCACCCGUCCGUGCCUCCUACUGCUCCAGCGGCUGCGCGGCCUGUCCAGACAGAGGCCCGCACAUCUGUUAAAGCACUAUUUAGGGUGGUGCUGCGCUGCUGGAGCUCGCCGCUGGCGGGCCGCCACGGCCGCCGGAGCGCGCCUCUGGACGGCCUGUGCGGCCGCUAGAGAGGGAGAGGAUGAGCCGCGGCCUCCGGAGAGGGAGAGGAGGAGCCGAGAAGAAGACGACCGACCUCCAUUCGUGGAACAGACGAACAUUCUGCAGAUACCAGAUAGUGCUGUCCACCAAUCUUUACUUCGAAUAUACAGAUUGUACUAAUUUGUGCCAAACAGCUUCAUCAGCUCUUUGUUUGCCAUCUGCAUUGGAGGUUGAGUCUUGACACAUUAUCUGGAUAACAUAGCAGGCAAUGCGGCAUGUCUCAUAACCUCUUGAAUACAAUAUCAAGCCUAUUAAUUGUGCUCUAGUGGGGAAAGCCUGCAUUUAAUAAUUGGUUAUGGGAUGAUGUCAUACAUAUGCUUAUGAAGGGUGACAAUAAGCACGGCUAUAAUGAUCAUGUAGUUAUAAAGAAUGAUCCUAUAUUUGACAGCUAUUCAAGUGGAAGAUAUGCGGUGAACAAUUUAUGGCAGUGAAGUUUGCUAGUGUAGCCUGGAUAAUUAGAAAGCUCGAACUUAUCUACAAUUCUAGUUUAUAUAAGUGUUCUGUACUAAAUGUCUAAACACAAUUCUUAAGCAAGAAAUAUUGUUUGCAUAUUCACUAGUAUAGGUUAGUAGCUUUCAUUUAUUUUCUUAAUUCUGAUAACAUCAACCUUCAUAUUGUCUACAAUUCUCCUGGUCACUUUGUGCCUUGUGGGCCCUUGUACUCAGCUAUAUCUAGAAACUAUUCUUCUGAAAUUGAAAAAAAGGGUUCUACCAAGAGCUUGGAAUUCUUAAUUCUCAUGACAAGACAGUAGUUGUAACAGGACUAGUUAGUCUUAGUUGAAGGCAAUGACCACGGAUGUCUUAAAAACAAAAUAACUGGCUGGCUGAGGCCUGAGGUGGUCCUUGACUCCUUGUGGAGUCUUGUUAGUAGUUGGGAGUUAGCUACUAACUUUGUGAUUAUGCUGUACAAAUGUACUUCCAUGUGAACAAAGAUAAGAACAAGUUAAAGACUUGUCUAAAGCUGUUUUUGGCAGUCUUUUGAACACAUAGCGCAAGUGCAAGGUGUUCUAUAGUAAAAGAUAAAUAAUAACAUUGUUUUUCUUUAGCAACCUCAAGUUAUGCUGUUAAAGAUCAUGCACUUUUGUAAUAUUCCCUCUUUAUAGAUCACCAUAUAGUUUCCAGGAACUGGAGUGCUAUUGACAAUUCCUUGAUAUAUUAAGGUUCCAGAAGGCACAUUUAUUUGUGAUUUUGUGUGUUUUUCACUUUGCUCUUCCAUGAACAAAUAGUUUUUGCAGAGCAAAGUGAAAAACUUAGGCCUGUUUGCAUCAGGUAUACUGCAGACUCACAUAAAAAAUAUUUUCACAGUUCUACAAAUCUGGACUGGAAUGUGUUUUUGUGUUAACUAAAAUCCUUAUUCAAUUCAAAUAUUCAUGGGUGAUACUGUUCAAGUCGUCAGAUCUUUCCUUUUCUUUUGUUCAUCAUCUGCCUAUUAAAGCGCAAUUAAAGAACUGAUGAUGACACUAUCCAUAUGCUACAGAAUGUGUCACAUUCAGACGACUUGUAUUUCUUGCUCUUGAGGGAGGGUAUCAUGUAUUGGGGCCACCUGGUGUUAAUAAGGUCCAGCUUUGAGUCCAUUGCCUUUGGCAGAAAUAAUAGUGAUGGCAACUCGUGUCUGUCAAUCGACAAUGUCAUUGGAAUGUGCAUCUGGACAUAAGACCAAUGCAGGCAUCAGAACAAGGACCUGUCCUCGCAGAAGUGGUAUAAGUCCGCAUGAAGAGAAGAACAGUUGAAGACUCUGCACAUAAAGACUCCCUUUUCAGUUGAUGAUUAUGGACUGUAAGGUAAAACCUUUGCACAAGAGACUUCAGAAUUCUUUAGGACCAAUAAUCAGUGGUCAUGUACUGCCCUUCAGCAUGUGCUGCAACUGCAACGGUUUUCACAUCCUUCGGUUCUAGAACUGAGGAUUGAUUUUGCCUGUUACGAAAACAGAUAUAUAAACAACUUUUCGACGAAACUAACAACUAAUCUGUAUUACUAUGCUGCAAGAAGUUUCAUGAAAGGCAGUGGAGCUUCAUCCAGAGUGUCAAAUCUGAAUUCUACCACAAGUACGUACAAUCCUAGAUGGGCAAGACGAUGGCCGCGUGGCGUUCACAGGGGAAUUUGACCA
This is a long non-coding RNA of Panicum virgatum (switchgrass), 3584 nucleotides long. RefSeq lists it as uncharacterized. The record is from RefSeq and is a predicted model, not a curated record. NCBI's taxonomy places the organism in Eukaryota, Viridiplantae, Streptophyta, Magnoliopsida, Poales, Poaceae. The transcript has 3 exons.